UGCAGAUCAGUCAGAAACAUCCAUGGC
RNAcentral lists this non-coding RNA (27 nucleotides) under Mus musculus (house mouse). Lineage: Eukaryota; Metazoa; Chordata; Mammalia; Rodentia; Muridae. The record is from RNAcentral.